GUGGGAUGAGAGGUACGCCCCAUACAUUGGGCGUGCAGGCUUCCUACCGUUGGCCCGGUUGGUCAUGACCGGGUUGCCCAUGUUCGACAAUGCAGCUUUGACGGCGCUAGUCGACCGCUGGAGGCCUGAGACACACACCUUCCAUCUCCCUUGCGGCGAGCUCACGGUCACUCUUCAGGAUGUGGCCAUGAUACUCGGGCUUCCAGUCGACGGCCAGCCUGUUUGCGGGAAUGUGCAACCCGCAGGGUGGAGAGACAUGGUCAAGAUGAUUGUUGGGAGUAGGCCACCAGAGCCUGCGCAGGACGCGAAGGACAAGAAGCCUUCAGGCGUCAGCUCUGCUUGGUUAGCUCAGAACUUUACAGAAUGUCCUCACGAUGCAGCGGACCAUGUCGUCGAGAGGUACGCCCGUGCUUGGUUGUGGCAUCUAGUUGGAGGCUACUUGUUCCCUGAUGGGAGUGGGAACAUAGUAUCGUGGAUGUACUUGCCGCUACUAGGAGAGGAAUGGGAGAACGUCGGCCUUUACAGUUGGGGAUCAGCCACGUUAGCAUGGCUAUACCGGCAGUUAUGUGAUGCUUGCUGGCGUAGUGGGGAUCAUGCCAACCUUGGUGGAUGCGCGUACCUCCUGCAGGUCUGGAUGUGGGAGCGCCUACCGGUUGGCAGACCCGAUCGUUUCUCCCCCAGGGUUUGGCAGUUCGAGGACGAGGGCUCGCUCCCUACUGUUGCUUUCUUAUGGAGAAACGUCCGGGUAGUGACUAGAAAUGCAGGAAGGCGCUACCUCUUCUACACUAACGAGCUAGACUGCAUCAUGCAGAGCCACGUAAGUGCGAUUGGUUUUGAAUUUCAUAUGGUACGCACUUGCAUAAGCCAACUGACAUUUACGCUUUGCAUCAGGUGACAUGGGAGCCAUACGACCGGCACGAGAUCCUUUCGAUGGGUCUAAGCCCUUUGUGUACACGGGACAUGGAGUAUUGGCGGUCUGUUCUCCUGCUAAUUUGCUUUUAUAUUGUAGAGAUGCAUUGUCCAAACCGUGUGAUGAGAUAGUUCGGGAGGUUGCAGCGGACACCUCCGGACACGACACCCACGUCCGUGGCUCUGCACAAAAUUGAUAGGAGGAAACAACGCGGCGCUCGCGAUUGGCGUGACGUGCACCACAACUACUUGGUGCAAUGGAGCAACCGGGCGCAGACAAUCAUUCACGGUGGACCCGCCCACCGCUCGGGUCCGUACCGUGACCACCUAAGGUGGUUGCAUGACUCUUCCAGGUUGGCAAUCAA
Molecule: RNA transcript, 1274 nt
Organism: Phragmites australis (common reed)
Lineage: Eukaryota; Viridiplantae; Streptophyta; Magnoliopsida; Poales; Poaceae
Gene name: protein MAIN-LIKE 1-like
Exons: 3
Source: RefSeq, a predicted model, not a curated record